CUCCUCUACGCUUACUCCGUGAUGGGAAUGAAGUUUGAUCUGACAAUAAAGUGCAAUAAAAGGAGAGCCGAAAACAAGAAAAACAGCCGACGACUACCUACGUCUUCUGAUGCUCCAUCCAGGUAUCGUGUGCAGUCUGGAUCAGAGACGCGUACACGAAGGAUGCACCUAAGGAUGCACCAACCGGAACGAGCACCCGACACACGUUCGCGCGCAGACACAACCGACUUCCCUUCCCCUGGGCAAAAAAGGAAUUCCACAACAAAACGCACGUGUCGACCGAUUUGUACGUUAAGGAUGUAAUUCCGUUCUGCCGAUGGCACACAUAAGAUGUAUCACAGUCGCUGGAUGCUGCCAAGCCCCUCGCUGUAAGGGCGAUUGAGAUUCGCGGCACGCUCGAUCAACGCAAGCAACCCGCUGCUGCAUUUCUCAGAUGCACGCGCCGCCGCGGUGGCUGGAUCUCCGGCGCACGCGAUCCAUCCCCGUUAGCGACCUGUAAUCGGCGGCUUUAUAAAUUUGAUCGAAAGUGAAAAGCACCCGGCAGCGGCGGCGGUCGAAAAACGGUAACCGUGGGUGAGGAACAGUCUUCAGGAACGCGACGAUUACCGAGUUAAUUUCCUCUUAAUUAUAUCCGGAAGACUGACCCACAUCCAGGAGGUUCACGCUUAUGGAAAGGCAGGGCGUACAGUGGAUCGAUCACGGAUGUAGGAAUAUCAGGAUAAAUGCGGGGUGUGUACCAGAGACGCAGGAUGAAGUCACUCUCGACGGGAUCAUCACGGAUUCAAAAAAAUCGCAGGGAACAACAGACGCUAGCGAUCGACACCGUUCCCGUAAGGGUGGAUUUAGUGAUUAGCAAUUAACUUUGACCCUCCUGCUGGCCGCUGAUGUCCGAGCGAGUGCCUCUUCUUUUCGACCAUUUUUCUACCCUCGGCUCACCGGCCGCCGAUUUCCGUUCGUCGGAAACGUCAUGUGGCACAUUAAUUGGAUCCGUGUAGAAUAAAAGGAGGCUCCUACAUAGCAAACUUAGAAACGAACCGUUCUCCAUUGACAUAUAAAUAAUGGCAACAUGACAGUGAUUGACGUCGAUAAAAGGUAUUUCAAAAGUCAAAUUGAGUACAUAUAUUUGUAUUUUAACUUAUCUUCUGUAAUUAAAAUACAAAAAUAUGUAUAGAUGUUUGUAUAUUGGAUAAUAAACCAAUAUAAAUUGAUUUACAGAACAUUUUUAUGUAAGAAUGAUACAAUAAUUACUAUAAAAUUAUACAAUAUAAAUCAUUCACUUCGAUAAUAUUAUCAACUCCAUCGAAUCUACUUUCUCUCAAUGAAUAAUCAUCAAAACGUUCGUCAGCAGAUGCAAUAAAAUUAUACGCUACCGUUUUGAUACUAUCUCCAACUGUGUAAACCUAGGUAUUAAAUAAUGUAUUUUACAAAUAUUUCAGAAAAA
Monomorium pharaonis (pharaoh ant) is the source of this 1441-nucleotide long non-coding RNA. RefSeq lists it as uncharacterized. The transcript is spliced from 5 exons. The record is from RefSeq and is a predicted model, not a curated record. Lineage: Eukaryota; Metazoa; Arthropoda; Insecta; Hymenoptera; Formicidae.